This 1673-nucleotide ribosomal RNA is filed under the name metagenome. Its description in RNAcentral is "bacterial LSU rRNA". It matches the Rfam family "Bacterial large subunit ribosomal RNA", at positions 1216 to 2925 of the family's 2925-position model. The record is from RNAcentral.
AGGCGGAUAGUGGUAGGGGAGCAUUCCGGCCAGCGUUGAAGGUGUACCGUGAGGUAUGCUGGAGCGGCCGGAAAAGAAAAUGUAGGAAUGAGUAACGAUAAUUAAGAUGAAAAAUCUUAACGCCGAAAGACUAAGGGUUCCUGAUCAACGUUAAUCGGAUCAGGGUUAGUCGGGUACUUAGGCGAAGCCGAAAGGUGCAGCUGAUGUCAAGUUGGUUAAUAUUCCAACACUUGUAAUGGUUUCGAUGGGGUAACGGAGAAGUGAAAGGUCCGCGGGAUAACGGUAUAUCCCGUUAAAGCGUGUAGAUAUAGAGCUGGCAGGCAAAUCCACCAGUUUUGUCGAACGUGAUAGUACGCAGAGGCUUCGGCCAAAGUGAUAGCGACCCUAAUCAUGCUCACGAGAAAAACCUCUAAGGUUAGGCCAUUACAACCCGUACCGUAAACCGACACAGGUAGUCGAGAAGAGUAUUCUAAGGCGCUCGGGUGAGCCACGGAGAAGGAACUAGGCAAAUUGUAGCUGUAACUUCGGGAUAAAGCUAUCCCUCCGCAAGGGGGGAUUCAAUGAAAAGGUUCAACCAACUGUUUAGCAAAAACACAGGGCCCUGCAAAAUCGAAAGAUGACGUAUAGAGCCUGAUACCUGCCCGGUGCUGGAAGGUUAAGGAAGCUUGUCAGCCGUAAGGUGAAGCUUGCGACCGAGGCCCCAGUGAACGGCGGCCGUAACAAUAACGGUCCUAAGGUAGCGAAAUUCCUUGUCGGGUAAGUUCCGACCUGCACGAAUGGUCUAAUGAGUUGAACACUGUCUCCUCCGUGAGCCCGGUAAAAUUGUAGUAUCGGUGAAGAUGCCGGUUACCCGCCACGGGACGAAAAGACCCCGUGAACCUUCACUACAACUUUGCAUUGAUUUUGAGUAACAGAUGUGUAGCAUAGUUGGGAGACUUUGAAGCAGGUGCGCCAGCAUUUGUGGAGUCAACGUUGAAAUACCAACCUUCUGUUACUUAGAGUCUAAUCCCCGCAAGGGGAGACAUUGCAUGGUGGGUAGUUUGACUGGGGUGGUCGCCUCCUAAAGUGUAACGGAGGCUCGCAAAGGUACCCUCAGUACGGUUGGUAAUCGUACGCAGAGCGCAUUAGUAGAAGGGUGCUUGACUGUGAGACUUACCAGUCGAGCAGGUGCGAAAGCAGGCUAAAGUGAUCCGGUGGUUUCCGUAUGGAAGGGCCAUCGCUCAAAGGAUAAAAGGUACUCCGGAUAACAGGCUGAUCUCCCCCAAGAGCUCAUAUCGACGGGGAGGUUUGGCACCUCGAUGUCGGUUCGUCACAUCCUGGGGCUGGAGAAGGUCCCAAGGGUUCGGCUGUUCGCCGAUUAAAGUGGAACGUGAACUGGGUUCAGAACGUCGCAAAACAGUUCGGUCUCUAUCUGUGGUGGGCGUUAGUAAAUUGAGAGGACAUGCUCUUAGUACGAGAGGACCGGAGCGUAUGUACCGCUGGUGUAUCUGUUGUUCCGCCAGGGGCAGUGCAGAGUAGCUAUGUACAGUCAGGAUAAGCGCUGAAAGCAUCUAAGCGCGAAACCUUCCUCAAGAUGAGUUUACUUUUAAGGGCCGUGGAAGACUACCACGUCGAUAGGCUAUAGGUGUAAAGGUGGUAACAUCAAAGCCGAGUAGUACUAAUUGCCCGUAAGC